Molecule: long non-coding RNA, 202 nt
Filed under: Phoenix dactylifera (date palm)
Lineage: Eukaryota; Viridiplantae; Streptophyta; Magnoliopsida; Arecales; Arecaceae
Description: long non-coding RNA (PDAC_LNC000008)
Source: RNAcentral
CAGCCAAACCCAAAGGAGGGCCGGGGUUCCUGGGUGGCGGAAAUACCGCAGAUAUGCUAUAACUUGGAAGACGUUGCUGUCACCUGGGGGCAAGUGUCAACAGCUAAUGUCUCUUUUCCCUCCAUGGGCAGUUGAUAACCCCCGCUCCCCUUUUUUCCCCUCUAAAUUAAGCUAUAUAUCCUCCUUUUCCCCUUCCUCUUCA